CGCAUGAGUGUUAUAGGCCCAUUGAAGGUGGGUACAGCAAGUUUGUUUAGAGGUGUCGCUAGUGAAUCUUGGGCCCAGGUCCAUAUCCUCUUUUGUUUCCAAAUCAGAAACCCUGAGGCUUUCUUAUUCCCAUUUUGUUUUCUUCGUAGCAAAGCCAUAAGCCUUCUUUUCCUUGCUUUCCGCGUGAAGCCACCAGACACCAGCAGCUUCUUCUUCUUUCCUCAGCCUCUUCAAAGUCAGCAAUAUCACCGACGUUGAACUUGGUGGUUGCUUCCAUCUCUUUGCCAUCAUGGCCUCUCGAACUUUAUCUGCAAAACAACCUAAACCACAAAUCCAACCUAUCAAAAUGAAAAUCAUACCUGAAGCUCCACCGCGAAUCUCUUCAAGUCUCGCCGGAAGCCAGCCAUUGUACAUGCUAUCAAAUUAAGAGAUGGAGUUGAAGCUGAAAGGGAUGAUUGGUCUCUAUAUGAACCCGUGAGUGAAGGAUGAAGGCGUAUCCGAUGGUUUAUUUCUGAUAGAUAAAAGGAAAAGGUUCUGACUUAUCUGUUUUUUUUUUCUUAUUGAAUUAAGGGGUGAAUUAAGGAAUGAAAGCACAGCAAUUGAAUCUGAUCUGGAAGGAGAAUAAUGUUUGUUUUGGAAAAGAGAUUGCCAUUUGAUUAGGAAGAGAUUAUGGAUGAGUAAAGAAUUGGUUUCUGGAAAAGAGCUUGAAUUGGUAGGUGAUGGAGAGGUUAUAAUUAGGAGAUAUAGGAUGAAGGAGAUUAUGAAAGGAGUGAAAGAGGAAUUCUUGGAGAGGUGAGAAUUAAAGAGCUCCUCCCUCCCUUUGGUUAUGGCUUCCUUCUUCUUUAAAUGGACAGAGAUGAAGACCGUCGGCAAACUCUCAUUGGAGGAUUGGUAAAGGUAGAAAAUUGUGAACUGUCCUCCAUGUGAUACCUCAAUUGGUAUAUAUAAAAUUAGAUCUUAUGAUAUGGUAUCUGUGAGCUUCCUGUUAAUCUGAUUCAUGCUUUUUUGUGAAAUUAUGGGUUGAUUGGAGAAAUUAUUUGCAACAAACGAAGGAUUAAGUUAAUUGGUGGAAGAGGAGAAAUGAAAGUAUGAUUGCAAAACUUAGUGGGCGGCUAGGAAAAGAAAGUGAUUGACUGAGGAGAACAAUGAAUGGCACGUUGGAGAAUAAUUGGAAAGGAGCAAUGUCUAAAGGUGCAAUAGGAAGAUUAUCAAUAGAAGACACAUUGGAAUCUCAAAUCAAAUGAAAUUACUACCAAAUUAAAUCACAUUAAUCAAAAUCAAAUAAUUCCAUAAAUAAAACAAAUUAAGAUAAAUAAAACUAAAAUAGAAAUAAAAAUGAAACACAAGAAAUCAUAAAAUAAAGUAAGUUUUAAAACAAACAAAAUUAACUAAAACUAAAAACAAGUAACAGAAACAAGAUCACAUGAAAUCACAUACAAUAAAAUCACAUGAAAUAAAUCCAAAUAAGGAAGUCAAUCAAAUAAAGUAAAUUUGAAACAUACAAUAAAAUCACAUGAAAUAAAUCCAAAUAAGGAAGUCAAUCAAAUAAAGUAAAUUUGAAACAAAUCAAAUAAAAUUAAACCGCAUUAAACCAAAUCAAAUAAAAUUACAUGCUAUCCAUUAAAAUAAACAAAAUAAAUAUCAAAUCAAAUCAUUCCAUAAAUAAAUAAAAAACGUAAAAAAUAAAAUCUAAGAUCACAUAAAAAUACAAAUAAAAUUAAAUAAAAUUAGACCCACAUAAAACCAAAUAAAGUAAAAUCAUAUAAGAUCAUAUAAAAUAAAAUCAACUCAAACAUAAUAAUCGAUAAAACCAAGUGAAAUUAAAUAAAAUGAAGUAAACAUCAUAAAAAA
Long non-coding RNA from Vigna angularis (adzuki bean), 1851 nucleotides. RefSeq lists it as uncharacterized. The transcript is spliced from 2 exons. The record is from RefSeq and is a predicted model, not a curated record. Lineage: Eukaryota; Viridiplantae; Streptophyta; Magnoliopsida; Fabales; Fabaceae.